Non-coding RNA from Pelobates cultripes (western spadefoot toad), 501 nucleotides. The record is from the annotation of a GenBank genome assembly. Lineage: Eukaryota; Metazoa; Chordata; Amphibia; Anura; Pelobatidae.
AAAGAUGGGAGAAAUGGAGAGGUUCUCUGAAGCCAUUAGAACAGCUCCAAAUUCCACGUUGCUAUGCCCUAGUCUCCAUUUCAGCCGCUAAACAGAGGGAAAUCCAUAUUUUCUCAGACGCAUCAGUUGAAGCUAUAGCUGCAGUUGCCUUUUUGAAGACCUCAGGGAUCAAUGGAGACAUACAUUGCAAUUUUGUUCUAGGCAAGGCAAAGCUAACACCAAAACCUGCACAUACCAUACCCAGACUUGAACUUUGUGCAGCCGUGCUAGCCGUGGAAAUAGCUGAAGUCAUAAAGAGUGAAAUGGACAUUAAAAUGGAUUCCUUCACAUUUUACACAGACAGUAAGAUAGUGCUUGGAUACAUCUACAACCAAACCAAACAAUUUUACGUGUACGUCAGUAAUCGAGUAGAAUGUAUCAGAAGGUUCUCUCUGCCAAAGCAAUGGCAUUAUAUUCCCACGGACAUUAAUCCUGCUGAUUAUGGGACAAGACCUAUAUCCC